UGGCUCAAUUUCCUUGGGAGAUGGGCUCAGCCUCCUCACCUCCCCUCAGCUGAGCCUACAGUAAAGGGGCCAGGUGUCUGUCAAAGUGGGAAAGGUGCUUAAGAAAACCUUGCCCCAUUCAAGCUGGCCUCACACUU
Non-coding RNA from Perognathus longimembris pacificus (Pacific pocket mouse), 137 nucleotides. RefSeq annotates it as small Cajal body-specific RNA 21. NCBI's taxonomy places the organism in Eukaryota, Metazoa, Chordata, Mammalia, Rodentia, Heteromyidae. The record is from RefSeq and is a predicted model, not a curated record. The transcript has a single exon.